GACGAACGCUGGCGGCGUGCCUAACACAUGCAAGUCAGGGAUUGAAUGAAGGGUAGCAAUACUUUUUAUUCAGUACCGGCGCACGGGUGAGUAACACGUAGGUAAUCUACCCUCAGGGCGGGGAACAACAUCGAGAAAUCGGUGCUAAUACCGCAUGACGCAACGAGACCACAUGAUCUUGUUGUUAAAGAUCCGCAAGGAUCACCCGAGGAUGAACCUGCGCCCGAUAGCUAGUUGGCGGAGUAAUAGCCCACCAAGGCAACGAUCGGUAGCCGACCUGAGAGGGUGAUCGGCCACACUGGAACUGAGACACGGUCCAGACUCCUACGGGA
Molecule: ribosomal RNA, 332 nt
Filed under: uncultured bacterium
Lineage: Bacteria
Description: bacterial SSU rRNA
Rfam family: Bacterial small subunit ribosomal RNA
Source: RNAcentral